This is a long non-coding RNA of Panicum virgatum (switchgrass), 605 nucleotides long. RefSeq lists it as uncharacterized. NCBI's taxonomy places the organism in Eukaryota, Viridiplantae, Streptophyta, Magnoliopsida, Poales, Poaceae. The transcript is spliced from 2 exons. The record is from RefSeq and is a predicted model, not a curated record.
UUAUGCAAAGUACCGCCACUAGCCAGGCUUGCUGGAAACGCUCCGCCGAGCGUACUAGCUAAGUCAGGCUUGCACAAGCCAUUGGCCUUAAAUCUCCUCACCUCCCACUGCCUUACCUCCUGUUGGUGCUGCCGCCGCCGCCACCUUCUACACCACCUAAGUCUGCUGCUGUCGUCAAAAUCGUCCGGUGAGGGAGGUCGGAGAGGCGCUGCUCCGGCGAGCUCGCCUCCUCGGAGGUGCAGAGUUCUUUAAGAUGGAGGCGGACGCAUCCGGUGCAGAUGAUAGCCAGCCCUGCUAGAUCUGACACGGGACGCUGCUUCCCACGAAUUGAAGGCGCGGUGUUGCUUGGAUUUGGCGUGCCUGUGUAAUUAUUCUUCUUGUUCUUGUGUUGGAUUUGAGUAGCACAGGGAUUGAACAGCGUUUUGAUUGGGCGUCGUCUGGCUGGAAUGCAAAAAAAAAAAACAUCACCACCAAGGAAGGAGUCCGCCAGUUGAACCUACCCAAUUUGUUGGAUGACGAGUAAUUCGUCUUUUAUUCUUGUUUGAUUUGAUUGGUGGGUCAUUCGCCUCUUUUGGAAUUUGGAGUUUGGAUGAUGCUGUUGGUAA